Strongylocentrotus purpuratus (purple sea urchin) is the source of this 544-nucleotide long non-coding RNA. RefSeq lists it as uncharacterized. The record is from RefSeq and is a predicted model, not a curated record. Lineage: Eukaryota; Metazoa; Echinodermata; Echinoidea; Camarodonta; Strongylocentrotidae. The transcript has 2 exons.
AAUGAACAGCGCAUUUCCAUUAUAUAAUAUAUAAUGAAAAGCGCAUUUCCAUUAUAUAUUAAAUAACGAUUGUGUAUGCAAAUGUCAAUGGUUGGUAACGCCCAUAAUAUGAAUAUUCAUGAGCUUGACUGAUAUUAUUAUCCUCUAUUCCAGGCACCUUUCCAUUUUGUGUUCUUUGUGCAUUCUUAUCAGAAAUCCUACGUGCGGUAAAUAAGUCUCUGUAUCACCAUUCUCCUUCUUAUUUGUAUGCAGAUUUGGUUAUAAUGAUUGAUAACUGUAAUCAUCCUCAUUAUUUUAAUAAUAAAUUUUUCUAUCUGUGAUGGAAGUUUUUAUGUACGAUUGCCUGAUCUGAAGACAAGACUUUCGCUGCAUGCAUAUUUAAUGUAUGACGUCACCCACACAGAGUGAGAGCUCGAGGUUUUCUUUGAAAGUUUGAUGGAAAAUGUACAGAGACACUUGUUGCAGUUAAUGCAUGCAGUACCAAAUGCUUGCUUUCUUGGAGUAUGUGCUUGAAACAAGAAUGUCCUGGAGAAAACAGACCACC